This 334-nucleotide ribosomal RNA is filed under the name uncultured fungus. Its description in RNAcentral is "eukaryotic LSU rRNA". The stretch from base 1 to 71 matches the Rfam family "5.8S ribosomal RNA", at positions 84 to 154 of the family's 154-position model. The record is from RNAcentral. Lineage: Eukaryota; Fungi.
GUGAAUCAUCGAGUCUUUGAACGCACCUUGCACCCUUUGGUAAUCCGAAGGGUACACCCGUCUGAGUGUCAUUGUAACCUCACUCCACCAGCUUCUUGUUGAUGGAUGUGGACCUGGACUCUGUUGUGUUACUGCAACUGGUCUGAAAUGCAUGAGUGCAUCCUGCUGUUGCAGCGUUUUCAGUGUGAUAAGCAUCUUCACUGGAUCAAGUUCCCUUCGGACACGCGGGCAUUGUGGGCUCUGUGCUGGCAAACCGUCUUUGGACAAGCUUGACAAUUUGACCUCAGAUCGGGUGGGACUACCCGCUGAACUUAAGCAUAUCAAUAAGCGGAGG